This 253-nucleotide ribosomal RNA is filed under the name uncultured bacterium. RNAcentral describes it as "partial 16S ribosomal RNA". It matches the Rfam family "Bacterial small subunit ribosomal RNA", at positions 524 to 776 of the family's 1533-position model. The record is from RNAcentral.
UACGUAGGUGGCAAGCGUUGUUCGGAAUUAUUGGGCGUAAAGCGCGCGUAGGCGGCCACUUAAGUCGGAUGUGAAAGCCCCUGGCUCAACUGGGGAAGUGCACCCGAAACUGAAUGGCUUGAAUGCAAAAGAGGGUCGCGGAAUUCCCGGUGUAGAGGUGAAAUUCGUAGAUAUCGGGAGGAACACCGGUGGCGAAGGCGGCGACCUGGGUUGACAUUGACGCUGAGGCGCGAAAGCGUGGGGAGCAAACAGG